This 74-nucleotide transfer RNA is filed under the name Caudoviricetes sp. RNAcentral's name for it is "tRNA-Gln". It matches the Rfam family "tRNA". Rfam says of the family: Transfer RNA (tRNA) molecules are approximately 80 nucleotides in length. Their secondary structure includes four short double-helical elements and three loops (D, anti-codon, and T loops). The record is from RNAcentral. Lineage: Duplodnaviria; Heunggongvirae; Uroviricota; Caudoviricetes.
UGGAAAGUCAUCUAAGGGUAGGAUAGCGGACUUUGACUCCGUUCAUACUGGUUCGAAUCCAGUCUUUCCAGCCA